CCUACGGGAGGCAGCAGUGGGGAAUAUUGGGCAAUGGGCGCAAGCCUGACCCAGCAACGCCGCGUGAAGGAAGAAGGCUUUCGGGUUGUAAACUUCUUUUCUCAGGGACGAAGCAAGUGACGGUACCUGAGGAAUAAGCCACGGCUAACUACGUGCCAGCAGCCGCGGUAAUACGUAGGUGGCAAGCGUUAUCCGGAUUUACUGGGUGUAAAGGGCGUGUAGGCGGGAAAGCAAGUCAGAUGUGAAAACCAUGGGCUCAACCGGUGGCCUGCAUUUGAAACUGUUUUUCUUGAGUACUGGAGAGGCAGACGGAAUUCCUAGUGUAGCGGUGAAAUGCGGAGAUAUUAGGAGGAACACCAGUGGCGAAGGCGGUCUGCUGGACAGCAACUGACGCUGAGGCGCGAAAGCGUGGGGAGCAAACAGGAUUAGAUACCCUGGUAGUC
This 443-nucleotide ribosomal RNA is filed under the name uncultured bacterium. RNAcentral's name for it is "partial 16S ribosomal RNA". It matches the Rfam family "Bacterial small subunit ribosomal RNA", at positions 338 to 795 of the family's 1533-position model. The record is from RNAcentral.